Sphaerodactylus townsendi is the source of this 1652-nucleotide long non-coding RNA. RefSeq lists it as uncharacterized. The record is from RefSeq and is a predicted model, not a curated record. The transcript is spliced from 3 exons. Lineage: Eukaryota; Metazoa; Chordata; Lepidosauria; Squamata; Sphaerodactylidae.
GUACUGGUGAUGCGGGUGCAAGGAAGGGGGGGGAGCCAGCCGGCUUCCCAUCCUGCCUCUCUCGCGCCGCAGGUCUGGUGCUGCUGGGCGGGGAAGAAGGGCUGGCUGUAGCGCAGACGGCUUCCCUUCCCUGCCCAGCUGCUCCGGCGGACAGAAUCCCCCUCCGGCUCAAAUUUCUGGUUGGUUCCAGAAUUCUACACGUCAGAAUUCCAUCAUCUCCAUGAAAAUCAUGAGAGUGUCGCAGGCAAAUGCAGAGCUGUUCUUUCUGGAAGAAAAUGACUACUGAUGAAUGAAGGAGAAAGCGGCAAAACAGGAUUACAACUGAACAUCAGGAAGAAAAAAAGUAAUAAUUACUGAGGUGUUACAAAAAUGCAAUUGAUUUUCUAUUCCUUGGUAUAAUCAUCAAUCAAAAAGGAGACUGCAACCAAGAAAUCAGAAGAAUGGUAACACUGGGAAGGGCAGCCUUGGAUGCCCUAGAAAAGAUCCUUCGGUAUCAAGAAAUGCUACUGGAUACCAAGAUCAAGAUAAUUUAUGCCAUAGUAUUCCCUGUUACUAUCCAUGGGUGCAAAAGUUGGACAGUGAAGAAAGAUGACAGGAAGAAAAUGGAUUAAUGUGAAAUGUGGCGUUGUGGCAGAGUUUUAUGGAUAGCUGGACUGCCAAAAGGACAUAUAAGUGGGUUUUAGAUCACAACAAGCCUAGACUCUGCCGAGAAGCUAAAAUCAGUAAACUGAGGCUAACAUACUUUCACUUAGUGAGAGUAUAAGAUUCACUGGAAAAGACUAUAAUGCUGGGAAAAAUUGAAAGCAAUAAAAAAAAGAGAAUGACGUAACAUGAGAUGGAUGGAGUGACUCAAUAAAGGUAGUCAUGACCUUCAGUUUGCAAUUUCUGAGUGAGGAUGCCAGUGACAGGAUUACUGAAAAAUCACUAAUUCAUAUAGUCACUAUAAUUCAGAAGCAACUUCAUGGUACAUAACUAGGGGUGGACAAAGUUUUGGGGUAUUUUUCAUGUUUGAAUUUAUUAGACUCAACUAUUUUCGGAAAAAGCAAAAAUGCCAAACCCCCAUAUCAUUAUGGGUGUGUGGGUUUUUUUUGUUUUUUAAUUUUGGGGCUGUUUAUUAAACCUGCACCAAAAAAAUUCCGUGGCAUCUUUGAAUUUCUACAUGGGUCCCAGAGGCACCAGGCUGGGCCUAGCCCAGUGUUUGGAUCUAGGCCACUAGCUGCCCUCAAGACCCACAUAGAAAUUGGAGGUGGCAGCAGAAGUGCAGAGCUGAAUUCUGGCUGACCAGCAAGUAAAUGAAGGAGGGAGGAAGAAAGAGAGAGAGAGAGGAUCCCCACCCCAAUCUUUUUAAAGUGGCAGCAGGAUCAAAGCUCCCCCCUCACCAAAUGCCAAAAAAUUUGGCAAUAUUCAGGAUCCGCUUUUCACCCCAACACAUAACAGGCAUAUAAUCAGUGGCGUAGCUACAAGGGGACGGGGGGUACAUGUUGCACCAGGCACAUGCACCAGGCUUCCUCCCUCACCUCACCUCGCCCUGCCCCAGCCCACCAGCCUAGCCUGUUUUCAGCCAGCAGAAAGCUGCCUGGGUGCACUCUCAUUCAGCUCUGUACAUCAUAACUAUCCUUCUAACAUCACAAUAAAGAUCUGGUCAACCAGCA